RNAcentral lists this ribosomal RNA (253 nucleotides) under uncultured bacterium. RNAcentral describes it as "partial 16S ribosomal RNA". It matches the Rfam family "Bacterial small subunit ribosomal RNA", at positions 524 to 776 of the family's 1533-position model. The record is from RNAcentral.
UACGAAGGGGGCGAGCGUUGUUCGGAUUUACUGGGCGUAAAGGGCGCGUAGGCGGCCAGGUAGGUCCGCUGUGAAAACCCGAGGCUCAACCUCGGGACGUCGGCGGAAACCAUCUGGCUAGAGUCCGGAAGAGGAGAGUGGAAUUCCCGGUGUAGCGGUGAAAUGCGCAGAUAUCGGGAAGAACACCCGUGGCGAAGGCGGCUCUCUGGGACGGCACUGACGCUGAGACGCGAAAGCGUGGGGAGCGAACAGG